RNAcentral lists this long non-coding RNA (383 nucleotides) under Ananas comosus (pineapple). RNAcentral's name for it is "long non-coding RNA (ACOM_LNC005556)". Lineage: Eukaryota; Viridiplantae; Streptophyta; Magnoliopsida; Poales; Bromeliaceae. The record is from RNAcentral.
GCACACACAUGGUCGGUUAUUUAUUAAUUUAUCAUUUAUCUUUAUGUGUGUUAUAAGAGUUCCGAAAUAGUCAUAUUCAAAUGGUAAACAGUUUAAAAUAAAGUACAUUAAGAAUGAAUCAGAGAUGGUUACUUCGAAAUGGUCAUAUUCAAAUGGUAAACAUUUUAAAAUAAAGUGCAUUAAGAAUGAAUCAGAGAUGGUUACUUCAACUGCAGUGAGUUGCGCUGCAAUAUCUCGCAUUUCCAUAAUAUGCUCACGAACCGAGCCUUUUCUGGAGUACUUCAUGGAAGGUAGUUUAUUCAUUAGAGUGCUCGCCAAAGCUUUACUAGAGCUUACAAACUAUUGCUCCACAGCAUUCAAGAAAUCGUGGGCUGUCUCGUAUU